RNAcentral lists this ribosomal RNA (616 nucleotides) under Lentibacillus persicus. RNAcentral's name for it is "bacterial SSU rRNA". It matches the Rfam family "Bacterial small subunit ribosomal RNA", at positions 1 to 580 of the family's 1533-position model. The record is from RNAcentral. Lineage: Bacteria; Bacillati; Bacillota; Bacilli; Caryophanales; Bacillaceae.
CUUUUUUGGAGAGUUUGAUCUUGGCUCAGGACGAACGCUGGCGGCGUGCCUAAUACAUGCAAGUCGAGCGCGGGAAGCAGCGGGUCGCCCUUCGGGGCGCACCCCUGUGGAACGAGCGGCGGACGGGUGAGUAACACGUGGGCAACCUGCCUGUAAGACUGGGAUAACUCGCGGAAACGCGAGCUAAUACCGGAUAAUGCUUGUGGUUGCAUGAUCACAAGCUGAAAGGCGGCCUCUGGCUGCCACUUACAGAUGGGCCCGCGGCGCAUUAGCUAGUUGGUAAGGUAAGAGCUUACCAAGGCGACGAUGCGUAGCCGACCUGAGAGGGUGAUCGGCCACACUGGGACUGAGACACGGCCCAGACUCCUACGGGAGGCAGCAGUAGGGAAUCAUCCGCAAUGGACGAAAGUCUGACGGUGCAACGCCGCGUGAGUGAUGAAGGUUUUCGGAUCGUAAAACUCUGUUGUCAGGGAAGAACACGUGCUGUUCGAACAGGACAGCAUCUUGACGGUACCUGACCAGAAAGCCCCGGCUAACUACGUGCCAGCAGCCGCGGUAAUACGUAGGGGGCAAGCGUUGUCCGGAAUUAUUGGGCGUAAAGCGCGCGCAGGCGGUC